UGCAGUCGAGGGGCAUUUCUGCUUUCGGGCAGAAGCGACCGGCGCACGGGUGCGUAACGCGUAUGCAACCUACCCACAACUGGGGGAUAGCCCGGAGAAAUUCGGAUUAAUACCCCAUAAAGCAGGGGUUCUGCAUGGGACUAUUUGCUAAAGAUUUAUCGGUUGUGGAUGGGCAUGCGUCUGAUUAGCUAGUUGGUGAGGUAAGGGCUCACCAAGGCGAUGAUCAGUAGGGGGUCUGAGAGGAUGAUCCCCCACACUGGUACUGAGAUACGGACCAGACUCCUACGGGAGGCAGCAGUAGGGAAUAUUGGUCAAUGGGCGGAAGCCUGAACCAGCCAUGCCGCGUGCAGGAUGACGGCCUUCUGGGUUGUAAACUGCUUUUAUACAGGAAGAAAGGGGUCAUGCGUGACACGUUGACUGUACUGUAUGAAUAAGCACCGGCUAACUCCGUGCCAGCAGCCGCGGUAAUACGGAGGGUGCAAGCGUUGUCCGGAUUUAUUGGGUUUAAAGGGUGCGUAGGCGGGUUAUUAAGUCAGUGGUGAAAGUUUACGGCUCAACCGUAAAAGUGCCAUUGAUACUGGUAGUCUUGAGUACAGUAGAGGUAGGCGGAAUUUAUGGUGUAGCGGUGAAAUGCAUAGAUACCAUAAAGAACACCGAUAGCGAAGGCAGCUUACUAUGCUGUAACUGACGCUGAGGCACGAAAGCGUGGGGAGCGAACAGGAUUAGAUACCCUGGUAGUCCACGCUGUAAAACGAUGAAGACUCGCUGUUGGCGAUACACAGUCAGUGGCCAAGCGAAA
Molecule: ribosomal RNA, 799 nt
Filed under: uncultured Sphingobacteriia bacterium
Lineage: Bacteria; Pseudomonadati; Bacteroidota; Sphingobacteriia
Description: bacterial SSU rRNA
Rfam family: Bacterial small subunit ribosomal RNA
Source: RNAcentral